RNAcentral lists this ribosomal RNA (629 nucleotides) under Pseudoalteromonas sp. ER11. RNAcentral's name for it is "bacterial SSU rRNA". It matches the Rfam family "Bacterial small subunit ribosomal RNA", at positions 60 to 676 of the family's 1533-position model. The record is from RNAcentral. Lineage: Bacteria; Pseudomonadati; Pseudomonadota; Gammaproteobacteria; Alteromonadales; Pseudoalteromonadaceae.
UGUCGAGCGGUACGAGAGGUGCUUGCUCCUCUGGUGUCGAGCGGCGGACGGGUGAGUAAUGCUUGGGAAUAUGCCUUAUGGUGGGGGACAACAGUUGGAAACGACUGCUAAUACCGCAUGAUGUCUACGGACCAAAGUGGGGGACCUUCGGGCCUCACGCCAUAAGAUUAGCCCAAGUGGGAUUAGCUAGUUGGUGAGGUAAUGGCUCACCAAGGCGACGAUCCCUAGCUGGUUUGAGAGGAUGAUCAGCCACACUGGGACUGAGACACGGCCCAGACUCCUACGGGAGGCAGCAGUGGGGAAUAUUGCACAAUGGGCGCAAGCCUGAUGCAGCCAUGCCGCGUGUGUGAAGAAGGCCUUCGGGUUGUAAAGCACUUUCAGUAAGGAGGAAAGGUUAAGUAUUAAUAGCACUUAGCUGUGACGUUACUUACAGAAGAAGCACCGGCUAACUCCGUGCCAGCAGCCGCGGUAAUACGGAGGGUGCGAGCGUUAAUCGGAAUUACUGGGCGUAAAGCGUACGCAGGGGGUUUGUUUAGCGAGAUGUGAAAGCCCGGGGCUCAACCUGGGGAACUGCCUUUUCGAACUGGCCAACUAGAGUGUGAUAGAAGGGUGGGAGAAUUUUAACGUGU